CACAGGAUGGAUGCUGUGCUGAUGUUGGAUAGGGCAAAAUUAAGCUACUCUGGUGUCACUGGACCCAGAGAGCGCCAAAGAUUUAAGCCUGGAACCUGUUUUGAAUAUCAGGACACAAAGCCAUAAUAAUAAAGGUUUGUUGCAGUGGGGUGGGAACCUGAAGAGUAACAUGCUUUCAACACUGAGAAACCCCAGCCUUCUCCCAAAUACCUGGGACUGGGGACAGGACUUCAAGGAAAAAACAAGCCCACUCCCAUCCCCAUUAGCUCAGCUGGGACCAACUGCCAUUUGGCUCCUCCCCUGCCAGAACGGUCUCCUUCAACGGCCAUUCCACCGAGCUGCAUCGGAGUGAGAGGCAAGACGGGAAGGCCCCUCCAUUGGCUUGUCUGGGACCAACUGUCAUUUCAGCUCCUUCCCCUACAAAAAUUUUCUUUUGCAGUUCCAUUAGAGUAUCACCUUAGAAAUCUGAACUACAUACCCACCCACCCCCAAUUACCAAAAAAAAAGAAUUGCUGGGACAGAACACAAAUGAGGGAGAUGGUGGAUGUCCUGAAUCGGGGAUUGGAGGCCGUGAUGGGCUGGAUGUGGACUGAAUCCAGACAAGACGGAGCAUUACUGAACUGAAUGGUGAGUUUUAAAGUAAAUGACUUGGCACGAAGCAAUAAAGAUGCUCCUCCUCAUCCUUUCCGUACGUGGUUGGAGCAGACCAAAGCAUUCUGGAACUCCUCUUCCUCCAGCACGCCUGACUUCACCAUAGGACUGAAACGGAGCAUUCUGGAACGCCCUGCGGAACUGGAGAAGCGCGCAGUGCCUGCUGGAGCACAUUAUCCUACACACCUUGGCGUGGGGAAGAGAUUACCUGACGUGAUGGGUAGGGAAGGAGGCGCUGCGGAGCUGGAGCUUCUCGCAUACGCACAUUUGGAGCUGAAGAACGUUGGCUUGCCAGCCACGGUGUGGGGAAAUCUGCAGAGGCUCAUGCGGCCCACGGGCUUCUGAGACACGUGUUGCAUGCGGGCACAGGGCAGGCGGGGGUGGUGGUGGGGAGGACUGGAUGGGGCUGGCUAAAAAUAGCCUCGUAGGAUUGGCGGCGCUGUUCAAUUAAUGGCGCUGGCGGGGAUUGGACGAGGGAAAAGCACGGGGUUAGAACGAUGCCUCCUCCAUGCCGAGCAAGAAUGGUGCAAGCUCGGGGGUGGGGGGUGCACGCGCAAACCCUCGAAUAAGGGAGACGCAACGGGGAGUCCCAGCCUGCUGCUCUUCCCGUUGGGGUCUCGCGGGGAGCCUCUGGGCUAGCUGAGGAGGCGCCUUCUUCCUCCCCGGCAGCCGCACAGGGCCAGCCGACUCCCUCUGCUCCUGCACGCCACCGGCCCUACCUGGGCUCCUCCUCCUGUCGCCGCCGCCGCCGCCCUCCAUCCGCACUCCCAUGC
Hemicordylus capensis (graceful crag lizard) is the source of this 1424-nucleotide long non-coding RNA. RefSeq lists it as uncharacterized. The transcript is spliced from 5 exons. Lineage: Eukaryota; Metazoa; Chordata; Lepidosauria; Squamata; Cordylidae. The record is from RefSeq and is a predicted model, not a curated record.